This 461-nucleotide ribosomal RNA is filed under the name uncultured bacterium. Its description in RNAcentral is "bacterial SSU rRNA". It matches the Rfam family "Bacterial small subunit ribosomal RNA", at positions 44 to 518 of the family's 1533-position model. The record is from RNAcentral.
AUGCCUAACACAUGCAAGUCGAACGGACGAGGGUAGCAAUACCCAAGUAGUGGCGAACGGGUGAGUAACACGUGAGCAACCUGCCCUUUACACUGGGAUAGCAGUUGGAAACGACUGAUAAUACCGGAUAAGACCACGCUCCCGCAUGGGAGAGGGGUCAAAGCGUUUUAGCGGUGAAGGAUGGGCUCGCGUCCAAUUAGCUAGUUGGUGAGGUAACGGCCCACCAAGGCGACGAUUGGUAGCCGACUUGAGAGAGUGAUCGGCCACACUGGAACUGAGACACGGUCCAGACUCCUACGGGAGGCAGCAGUGGGGAAUAUUGGGCAAUGGAGGAAACUCUUACCCAGCCAAUGCCGCGUGAGGGAUGGAGGUCCUAUGGAUUGUAAACCUCUUUGAUUAGGGACAAAGAAAGUGAUGGUACCUAAAGAACAAGCCCCGGCUAACUAUGUGCCAGCAGCUGC